This is a long non-coding RNA of Hypanus sabinus (Atlantic stingray), 1087 nucleotides long. RefSeq lists it as uncharacterized. The record is from RefSeq and is a predicted model, not a curated record. NCBI's taxonomy places the organism in Eukaryota, Metazoa, Chordata, Chondrichthyes, Myliobatiformes, Dasyatidae. The transcript has 4 exons.
UGAUUUUUUUUCUUUGUGUUGAAGCGGGUCUGGAGCGGUGGAUUGUCCACGGGAUCCGGAUCGGGAGAGGGUACUCGCCCCCUCGGGCGGCGAGCCGGGGGGGCCGGUCGGAUCAUUCUCUGCGGAGCGGGACCGACAAGAUCCAUGCGUUAGACCUGUGGUGAGAGAUUUAUUGGAAGAAAAGCCCACAACUGGAAGCAAACCACGACUGAAGACGAGGAAACAGCAACAAGUGAACCAGCCCGAGGACUGAGAGCAUCAACUGGAGAGAACCCAUCUGACUCGGAGAUUCCACUGAUUCAGUCAGGAGAAAGUUUGUUAGAUCUCCGGUGAGAGGGUUAUUGGAAGAAAUGCCCACAACUGGAAGUGAACCAGAACUGAAAACGAGGCAACAGCAACAAGUGAACCAGCCCGAGGACGGAGAUCAUCAAUUCGACAGAACCCUUCUGACUCAGAGUUUCCAUUGAAAGUCAGGAGAAAGUUUGGUCAUUGCCAGCAGGUGAGGCUUUCUUCCACCCGGACGUCAGACAAGCAAACGACAAUCAACCAAAGUCAGUCAGAGUUAGAAUGGACACAGGUAUGUUCACUGGGCUCUUUCUCAUUAAAUCUGUCAUCAUGGUACACGUGUAGUCAAAUCAUCAAUAAUUCAGAGGGAUAAACUUGGCCGACAAAGGGGCAGAGAGAAAGUACCAUCAAACGGAGUCAUUGUUCCAACUGGUAAGGAGUCCAUGAGCAUUGGAACAAUUCACCAGGUCCAGCGCAGGGACCUAACGAGGGGAAUGAUCGAAUCGCUCCGCUCACCACACAGAUCUUCACCUGAGUGAAAGGAGAAGGAGCCCCUAAAUAAGGUGGCUGUGGGUAAAACUCAGACAGGAAUACAACAGCGGGCAAUGUAACAGUCGAGAGAACAGAUAGAAUUUCCGUCAGCAUUUGGUAAGGCCUGAUGUGGGAAAUGCCUCCGACAGCCAGUGAGAGAAACAGAAGUUGUUUUCUGUUUGGAAGGGCAAUGUAGAAUUCUCCCCAGAUUAACGGGUUGUUGCACAAUGGAGGUGAGGGGAGUCCCCGGUGUUUGUUUUCUGUGGCCGAG